UGGGGAAUUUGGACAAUGGGCGAAAGCCUGAUCCAGCAAUGCCGCGUGUGUGAAGAAGGCCUUCGGGUUGUAAAGCACUUUUGUCCGGAAAGAAAUCCUUGGCUCUAAUACAGUCGGGGGAUGACGGUACCGGAAGAAUAAGCACCGGCUAACUACGUGCCAGCAGCCGCGGUAAUACGUAGGGUGCAAGCGUUAAUCGGAAUUACUGGGCGUAAAGCGUGCGCAGGCGGUUUGCUAAGACCGAUGUGAAAUCCCCGGGCUCAACCUGGGAACUGCAUUGGUGACUGGCAGGCUAGAGUAUGGCAGAGGGGGGUAGAAUUCCACGUGUAGCAGUGAAAUGCGUAGAGAUGUGGAGGAAUACCGAUGGCGAAGGCAGCCCCCUGGGCCAAUACUGACGCUCAUGCACGAAAGCGUGGGGAGCAAACAGGAUUAGAUACCCUGGUAGUCCACGCCCUAAACGAUGUCAACUAGUUGUUGGGGAUUCAUUUCCUUAGUAACGUAGCUAACGCGUGAAGUUGACCGCCUGGGGAGUACGGUCGCAAGAUUAAAACUUAAAUGAAUUGACGGGGUCAUAGCUG
This 578-nucleotide ribosomal RNA is filed under the name uncultured bacterium. RNAcentral describes it as "partial 16S ribosomal RNA". It matches the Rfam family "Bacterial small subunit ribosomal RNA", at positions 356 to 932 of the family's 1533-position model. The record is from RNAcentral.